RNAcentral lists this long non-coding RNA (1758 nucleotides) under Triticum aestivum (bread wheat). Its description in RNAcentral is "long non-coding RNA (TAES_LNC000991)". The record is from RNAcentral. Lineage: Eukaryota; Viridiplantae; Streptophyta; Magnoliopsida; Poales; Poaceae.
UUACUCAUCUGAUUUCAAAAGCGACUAUUUACAUACUUUAGCUAUGCCAAUGAAUAGGUCUUAAUCAGAUCUCUAAGACAUAGGGAGAGUUUCCUUCGUUAUAACCCACCGCGGCCGUAACAUCAACAGCAUGCUUCCCUCGGCAACAUCAUUGGCUACGUGCUUAGUUCCUCAGUAUCGACAUCGUCACAUGAUAUUGCCUCCUACGAAUGCAUGAUGGUUAGAAGUACACCACCACCACCAAAUUAUUCCGUUCAAAUCCUGCAAAUUUUUGACAGUCUACUUGUCUCCUUGAUUAAUUACCUAGAUCUGAUGCCUUUUAUCAGUGGGAUUUGAAUGAUUAUUUAGCUAGCCCCCUUGAUUGAAGUUGUUGAAUGUUUGUUUCUUUGGAAUUCUACAGAGAAAAAGUGUGUGUACCUAUAAGCAAUACAGAAGACAUCUUUAUCAACGAAACCUAACUAAUGGAGAUAUGCAUCCCAUGAUAGUUUUUCGAAUCAAAAUACAGUUACAGUUGGGAACAUACAUGGUACAAGAUUAUGAACAGGAGAAUAAAAUCAAAUAGAAUAUCACAUGCAUGUCAACACAAUAUUUUAUUACUGUACAUCAUUUUCCAUUGUUUGACAUGAUGGUGAGUGCAAUUCGAUAUAGUCACUUAUCACAGACAACACACAUACAAGAGUUUACCAAAAUAUUAUCAGCAUGACAAUAUGAGUGAUCAAGGAGAUUCCGCCACUUCUGCUCGCAUGUUGCCUGGCAAGUAACAGGAAAACAAAUAAAAGGUUCCCAGAAUGCACGAUAGGUAUGGCAAUUCCCUGUUGACAAGAAAAUACGUUAGUAAGAGUUAUCCAAACUAAGAAACUUGUGAAAAUCUACUCCGCUUGGAGGGAUAAUGGAAACACCUAUAUAGGGACAUGGAGAUUGAUUUCUUACGAGCAUGGCCUGAAUUUCCUAGCAGCACAAGCACCGUAACGCAAAGAAGAAUAGUUUUCCCGUCCAUAUCUGAUUCUCGUUUCUGUUUGUUCCAGAAGCAUACAUGAUGUUAUCUUAUAGAGUUGUCGCUAGAGAACAUUUACUCCCCAUCCACUCAAAUAUAAUAAAAAAAAGAUUUGGCCAUAUCAUCUAUCUAUAUCUAUAUCUAUCUAUCUAUCUAUAUCAAUAUCUAUACUUCUAUUUCUAUAGCUAUAUACUUAUAUACUUACUUAUACUAAUUAUAGACUCCCAAGAAAUUCUCAUGUUAAUCAGAAAUAAUGAACCGUUUAUCUGGUCGCAUGGAUAAACAUUACGUUCUAGAUCAAUCUAUAAACUUCUCGGUAAAAAAAAGUCAAAAAGGCCCAUAAUAUUGAAUUGAAAAAUAUGAACCAUUGAUUUGGCCUAGGCUAUUACAACUCAGAUCAAAUAAAAUCAUGCAACUCUUAUUUUUGUGCAAUUAGAUAACGUACAAGAGAUGAACUUUCUUUCCCCGCAGGUCAAAAAUGUAAAAAUUUACCCAUCCUUGUACAUGUAGAAGAAGAAACACAAAUUAACGUUAUCUCUCUUCAAAAUAAUAAUCAGCCGUCCUAUCUUCUCCUAAAAACGUCCAACACACAAAUGUCCAUUCCGAUAGUUUAAAGGAAGUACGGGAUUCGGCUCACCUGCAAUAUAAUGUGCAGGGCCAAUACAUGAGUGACACGUGUCCUUGUGGCCUGCAGCUCCAAUUAAGUUCAAUUUAUUUGUUUCUUCCUGCUUCGCAACCUGGCGUCUGAGGGAAGGAAAUACGAG